UCUCUUUCUACCCAAAUUAUAUAUUUUUAAAAAUUUAAUUUAAUCAAAAUUAAUUAUCACUAAUACAAAAUACUCUAUGUUAUUUUGAUGACUAACUUUUCCCAUAAUUUAUUAUACAUUUUUCUUAUACUGAGAACCUAAUUAAACAAAUAGUAAUUCAAUUAAAAUUUAGAAACUAAAUAGUUAAUUUUUUUUGUUAAUUGUAAUUAUAUAUGAGUAAUUUAAGUUUAGAACUUGUCACAGCAAGUGUUGAUAGGUUCAUUUUUCUAUAUCUCAAUCUCCGUUUGUUUUCCUAAAAUGACUCAUAGGAAAAUAUUUUCCACAAUUUCCGUUAUUUAGGGUGUUUAGGAAAAUAAGUUAAUGGAAAAUAUUUUUUUGAUCAAAGAAAAAUUAAGUCAUUUUUUAAGGAAAAUAAUUUCUCAUUUUCGAGAGAGAAAAAUAUUUUUCGAAAAUUGACAAACUUUAUAGAUCUAUAUUUUUAAUUUAUUAAUCAUUAUAAUCACUACCACCGGUCAUCAUUUAUCACUAACUACUACCACUAGCUACCACCACCAGUCAACGAUGGAUUUCAUAAUAUAUAUAUAUAUAUAUAUAUAUUUUUUUUUCAUUAUUUUCAUAUUAACAAUAAAAAUUUUAAAUUAUAAAAUUUCUAUUAAUAUUAAUAUUUUUUAUUAUUUUACGAGAUAAGAUUUUAAUAUUUUUAAUUAAUUUUUAAUAUUACAAUCAAACAAUAAAAAAUAAUUUAUUUAAAAAUAUUUUUAAGCAAAUUAUUUUACUGAAAAUUUUUUUAAUUGAAUAAACUGAUUGUUACGUACAUGGGUCAUGUGUUCACGUGCAUGAAUCUUAUCAUAGAGUCUGCCAUUGCAGUUGCUUAAUUGGUACUACUUGGUUCUUGCUCAUGCGUUGCACUACAGAACGGGCCUGCCACUGCUGCAAAUUUCAAGAGAGAAGACCACAAAUAAAUGGCGACAGUUUGUUAACCUCGGUUUCGUAAAUUGUUUUUUUUUUCCCCAUAUAUUUGAUGUAAACCAAUUUCUUUUUGAACUGUAGAGCUUAAAUUUUUUUUUUUUUUUUUAUCAUCUUCCUUAUAUCAAAAUUAUGUUUUCAUUUUUUACAAGAGUAAAAAUUUAUUUACCGCCACAAUAAAUAUAUAUGCUGGUGUUUUUAAUUCCUUUUAUAUAUAUCCUGACAAGGUAAUGUAAAAUGAGUAAUACAUAGAAUUGGAAAUGUAGAAAUAAUAAAAUCCAAAAGGUCGAUUAUAAUUAUUGAAAAUGACAUGGAUGGGUCAUUUUCUCCAUCUUAAAUGCCCUAAUUAAUUACCCUCCUCUUUUUUUUUUUUUAACUGCCACAAAAUAGUGUUUAUGGUACAUUUUGCAUUCACGAGGGUUCGCGUAAAUUAUACGUUGAGAUGAUAACGAAACAGCUAGUGUGCCCAUUGCAUUGAAGAUGGAGAUUAACUAAUUAAUUUUGAUAUUAGUGACUUCUUAAAAAUAUUUAUGAUUUAUAUAAUAUUAGAAUAUAUUGAUCUUACAAAAGAAUUUGUUUAGUAAAUUUGAAAAUAAUGAAUGAGGAGGAUAUAAUUGUCUAAAAAAAAUAAUAAUAAAAACAAUAACAACAAUAGAUAAUUUUUUAACUAUAAUUAUAAUUGACUGAUUUUAUAAAAAUUAAUAUACACCUAACACAGCUAUAGUGUUUUUCUUAUAAUUAAAAUUAUUAUUUGUAUAAUAAAUAAAUAUUCUGACAAUUGAAUAAUCUUUUUUAGCAUUAAAUUGUCCACUCUUGGAACAAAAUAAUUACUCAACCAAUUAAUAUAUUUUUAUACUAAUAUCAACCUUUAAAUUAAAAAAUGAAUGCCAAUUGGUCUGGUUGGUGGAGAGUAACACAUCGAGUUCAAAAUUAUACAUUCAAAAUUAAUUUUUAGUAAAUUCUCAACCUUUCAUUUAGAAAAAGAAAUUAUAUCGAAAUCUUUAUUUUUGGAUAGCUAAUUUGGGGCUACAUGGAUGGGCAUGCAACAGAGAUAUACACAAGCAUCCAUCAUUGAAUGGAAAGCUAAGCCUUUUUAAAACUUUCAACCUCAUCUGCAACUGCAAAUUGGCAAACUCAAUGAUCAACUUUUACGAGUUGACUCCAUCUUUUGAAAAAGAAAUUUAUUGAAGAAACCCCAAAAGUCAAAAACCCUAAUCUUCCGAAAGCAUCAUCAUCAUAUAAGUUCAUAACAAUGCCUUCAAUGCAAGAACCUGUGAGCCUGUUGACAGGUUGGACCAAUAAAUUUCUUGUCCAUUGGCAGAUGAGCCUCAUUUACUCAUGCAGAUAUGACAGUUGAGUCGAUUUUCAGUGACUUAUAGGAGAAAUAUGUUCUAAGCUAUUUCUCAGCUUAUAAAUAUGUGUCCUACACUCUUAUUACACCACUGCUCAGUUAGCUUUGCUUGCUAGCUAUAGAUUGUUUAAGCAAGCAAUGGGUACUGCCAUUAAUCAUAUUUGUGUUUUGGGAGCUAUCUUGUUGUGUCAUUUCCUUGUGAGUGCUGUUUUUGUAUUGGCUGAUCGUGUUAAUGUUGAUGAUAAGGAUGAUAAGCAUUUGCUGUUUCAUCGCCCUUUGUUGGGAGGAGGUUUAGGUCAUGGCAUUUAUAAGAAGGGUUUUAAACAUGGUGGUCUCGGUGGUGGUAUAGGAGGUGGAGCAGGUGGUGGGUUUGGAGGUGGUGCAGGAGGUGGUUUUGGUGGUGGAGCUGGGGGUGGUUUUGGUGGUGGAGCUGGUGGCGGGCUAGGUGGAGGUGGGGGUCUUGGUGGUGGUGCAGGUGGAGGUUUAGGUGGUGGUGGUGGGCUUGGUGGCGGCGCUGGUGGAGGUUUGGGUGGUGGCAUUGGUCACGGAGGUGGUUUAGGUGGUGGCAUUGGUCACGGAGGUGGUUUAGGGGGUGGCAUUGGGCAUGGAGGUGGUCUAGGCGGUGGUGGUGGACUAGGAGGGGGAGCUGGAGGAGGUUUGGGUGGCGGACAUGGCGGGGGUCUUGGAGGUGGCGGUGGACUAGGUGGCGGACAUGGUGGAGGUCUUGGAGGUGGUGGUGGGCUAGGUGGCGGACAUGGUGGGGGUCUUGGAGGUGGCGGAGGACUAGGUGGCGGACAUGGUGGUGGACUUGGAGGUGGUGGCGGACUAGGUGGUGGACAUGGUGGUGGUCUAGGAGGAGGAGCUGGAGGAGGUUUAGGUGGUGGACAUGGUGGAGGUCUUGGAGGUGGUGGUGGAAUAGGAGGGGGAGCUGGUGGAGGCUUGGGUGGUGGACAUGGUGGUGGUCUUGGAGGAGGAGCUGGAGGAGGCUUAGGUGGUGGACAUGGUGGAGGUCUUGGAGGUGGUGGUGGACUAGGAGGGGGAGCGGGCGGAGGCUUGGGUGGUGGACAUGGUGGUGGUCUUGGAGGUGGUGGCGGACUAGGUGGCGGACAUGGUGGUGGUCUUGGAGGAGGAGCUGGAGGAGGUUUAGGUGGUGGACAUGGUGGAGGUCUUGGUGGAGGAGGUGGACUUGGAGGGGGUGGUGGUGUUGGUGGAGGUGCAGGAGGUGGCUUUGGUGGCGGUGCAGGUGGCGGUGGAGGGCUAGGAGGUGGUGCUGGCGGCGGAGGAGGAUUUGGUGGAGGUGGGGGUGCCGGAGGAGGAUUUGGAGCUGGUGGAGGUUUUGGCAAAGGUGGUGCUAUUGGUGGUGGAGCAGGUGGAGGUGGCGGUGGAGGUGGUGGGUUUGGGGGAGGCUUUGGUGCUGGUGGUGGCGCAGGGUUUGGUGCUGGAGGUGGAUUUGGUGGUGGACACUAAAUUAAGCUGAUGCUGAGAUUAGCAAGCCGAGAAGUAGAAGAAUGAAAUAUACAUAUGUUGCGUACUCUACCCCAUAUCAGUAAUGUGUGUCAGUGUCACUAAUUGGAUAUGCUUUCUUGUAUCAUUUGUUUUUUUCUUUUAUCCAAAUAUAAAAUUAAUUAAUCAACAAUUAAAAAAUUAUAAUCACCGCUGAUGAGGCUGAUUAACAAAUCAAAGCUUAAACUAAUGGUGUUUUAUUUUGGUUUUUUUAAUUGUUAUUUCGCCCAUGCAUGCAAAAACUUGUAAACAUAUCCAAUUAGUGUACGUCUCCUCCUUGAGAACUCCAUAUAUGUUCAUUUUGGUGUACCAAAAUGAAAUCAUUCUACUCCCUAAUGAACUGACACUCAUUAAAUUUUAGGUUUGAACCACAUAGUUGAGUAUUAAAAACUCUCACCAACCCACAAAUAAUAAUGCAUGUAUUGAAGAUUUCGGACAGUGGAAAAACCGGUGCAUUUAAACGAUGUCUGAUCAUCCAAUUUCAACCAUUUCUUAGUUUGCAGGUAUUGUCGUUGGGCCCAGAUGUUCAAAACUUAAUAAUUUGUUAAUUAUCCAACUUAACUAAAUGGAUUAAAGGGAAGCAUUGAUUAUAUCAGAGGCCAAAAGAUGAUAUGCUUCAUUAAUGAAUUCCUCAAUUUAGAAACGGAAUUGUAUGUUUGACGUACAUGAACAAGUUUGCCAAUAUGGAAUUUGAGAUUGAAAAUCAAUUAUUAUUCAGCUAAAUUUGAUUAAGGAUUUUCUUAUAGAAAUUGUAAGCAAAUUUAGCAAAACAAAUGAACGACAGAGGAUUCCAAGGGGCUCAAGUAUUUUUCAUUUGAAAGGCCCAGUCAUAGCCCAUUAAGACUUUUCCCUUGCUCCAAUGGACGAAAGAGGAUUUUUUUUUUUUUUUUUUUUAAAUUAGUUUAUGAACAUGAUAAUUUUUUGUUCUAUAUAUAGUUUGUUAUUGAAUUUUUCUUAGGAUACAUAAUAAAUUUCUUGAAGGAGAAUGUGACUAGCUUAUGAUAAUGACUAGCUUAAUCUGGAAAAUUGGAUGCCAGAAGGGCUUUUACAGCUGCUUAGCAGAGAACAUUAUUCCUUCGAUUUCAAGUAAUGUGAGAAAUUUCAAUACAUGUAAUAUUGGAUUAAAAAGAAAGGAAAAAGACUUGCCUAGAUCAUGGACCAAGUAAAUAAAAUUCAAAUUUUCUAACAAGUGUUUUGACUUUUUUUUUUUUUUUUUCAAGUGUAUGGAAAUACUCUCGUUGAAAUACUAUCAUUUGAAAUUCAGGAUUUUCUAAAUUGAAAAUACUGUCGUAUCAAUUUACAUUUUAAUUUGUAAAUUGUACAUAUUCUACACAAUUUUAUUUUUUAUUUUUUAUUUUUUUAUUUUUGAGAGAACACAAACAUAACACAAUAUAUCACACAUUUUUCAUGGAAACAAAUUCUGACAUAACAUACUAACUUAUGUAACUCAUACCUGCAUACAUUUUUAAUAAAUAUAAUUUUAUAAAUAAAAUGUUAAACAAAUCAUAUUAAAAAAAAUAAAAAAUGCAAAUCAGUUGUUAAUUUAUAUUUAAUAAUAAAAUUUAUAAUUAUUAUGAAAUAAUUGAGCUUUUCGGAAUUUUUUUUCCUGAUUAGGAAAAAGUGAGGGCGAUUGAACGAUGGGUGAGCCCAAUCACUGUCGUUUCUACUAUUAUGAUUAUCGAAUCGUAUCUUACGACUUUUUUUGUGUGUCAGCUCCCUCGUGUUUUGUGCUUUUAACGGGACAAAUGCAAGAAUGAAUGGCUUCUAAAUAAUGUCAUAAGCAUAAAACCAAAGAGUACUCGCUCCUAAGAGUUCUUUACGUAUGACAUCUCUGACAUUAUUCAUCUCAUUUCCUUUCAGUUUCUGGGUUUCACUCACUAAUUAAUUUCCACAAACUAAAUUCAUAAUUAAUCAAUUAAUUAUAUUAUAUAAAACUAUUUUUAUAAUGUUUAGUAAUAAUUUUUAAAAGUUAAGAUAAAAUUUUGUUAAUAAUUAUAACGCUUAGCUUUUAACGUUUUAUAAAAAGUUAUUCUAACAGCUAAUUAAACACUACUAAAAUAGCUAACAACUAUCAAAACCGUUAAUUUUGACAAACAAACCCUAAGCAUGAUCGUGCACUAUUUAGUACUUCAUGUAUAAUUUAGAAUUUAAACUGUAAAGUUCCGUUACAUUACAUUCUAUUACGAUGUACUAACUGAAGUCAUCAUUAAUCCCUUGUUUGUAUUGUAAAAAUAAGAGUUCUCGGUCGAAUUAUUUUGUAACAUAAAGGGAAAAGAUCAACUUAAUGUGUAACUCGGCCAAUUUUACUCUAACAAAGAUAAAAUAAAAUGGAAGAAAUUGGCUAUGUAUAUAUAUGCACAUAAAAAUAUAUAAUUUUUUCUUUUUUUUGAGAAUAUAUUAUACAUCAAUGGCAUAAAAAUUAUAAUUAACAAUAUAUAUAAAAUCACACAAACAUGCAUACAAAGAAAGAAAAGAAGUUAAGAAAUGAAAUAUUAAUUUACUUGCUAUUCACAUAUACUACUUCUAGUGAAGCAAAAAAGAAAACAUCUAAAAAGAGUGAUGGAUAGAAAAAUGAUAGCAAGAACCAUUGGACCACAAUCAAUUAAUAACUUUGAUAGUACUGAAAACGAACCCUCUUUCUUACUAGUUUGAUUCUGGAUUUGGACCGCUAGGUACUUCAUGGGCAGCUGCUUUAAACUCUUCGCCUGAACUGCUCGCACCACCAGAACCAGAAAUUCUAGUGGUAGAAGCGUCUGGUGUGUGUAACUCUGUGCUAUUUGGUGAAGCAGAAGCCAUGGAUUUCUUGGGGAAGUCGCUAAUAGGACGACCAAGAAGAGGAACAACCAGGAAAAGAAAGCCAAGAAACAAGAACAGAGCUUGAAGUCUGAAACUUACUGUUGAAAUUUCACAUGCCAUGAAAUUAGUAAUUAUAAACCUCCCCCCCAGUAAUCCACAAGGGAUUAAUAUCCAUGAACCAGUUGAAACUCCAAUAAUAAUUAAUUAGAAGAAAUAUUGGGGAAAAGAAAGAGUAGAGAAAGAAAGAAAGAAAGAAAAUAAGGUUGCAGUUGCAGAUGGAAAGGAACUUGUAAAAUUUCAAGGCAGAUGCUUUUAGGAAGUUAUAUAUGCCAAGGUUGGUAUAAAUGUUUUUAUACGUGAUGCCAUUAUUACCCUUGUUCUUCUUUUUAAAUUUCAAUUUUAACUAUAUAUGGUUACAGAUAAGCCAAUACAUUAUUGUGCAAUUAUGUGAUACAAGAAAAUUGACCAAUGAAAAAGUUUGCUUCCAGACUGUGGUGCAUAUCUGUAUGGUAUUAUGUGCUAAUUAUCAUUAACAAUACUAAAUUUAUGAUUAAACAUAAUUCAUCUAUAUUGAAAUUUAAAAAAAUUAAAAUGAAAAAUUUUGAUAAACUUUACGGUAAUUUCAAUUAAAAUUUAAAUUUUUUGUAAAAAAAUUAUAAAUCAUUGUCUUUCUUUAAAGAAAAAAAGAAUCCGGAAAGAGAAAAAGAAGAGUUGGUGGAAUGAGAACGAGGUGGAUGACUUCUUGCAGCCGGGCUGGUUGUGAUCAAGAAAUCUUUUUUCAUUGACUUGUAAAACCAUUUGAAAAUUACAAGGCAUUGUUCAAUCCAUUUAGCCUUUUUAUCAAAAUUUUAGUUAAAGAAAAGCAUCACACACACACAUAUAUAUAUAUAUAUACUGCUUUCCUGUGCUUUGUGAAAAUCCGGGAUUGUCUCCAUGAUCAGAUGCAGAUGGGUCCCUACUUUCUUUAUACAUACUCCUUCAAUAUGACCUUAAAUUAUUGGGAUUGGAUCAUCAUAAAUAAAUUGCAUCUCUUCACUAAUUUUAUUUAUAAAAUUAAAGAUUUAAAAUUUAAAAGUACCAUUAUUAAAAUUUUUUUUUUUUGCUUAAAAGAUGAUAUUUGUGAUCAUCGGGAGAAAAAUAUGAAUAAAAUAGUAAUCUUAUUUUUUUUUUUUAAAAAAAAAAAUUGAUUAACUUGGUGAUGAGUGUCGAAGAUUUUAUCCAUAUAUUAAAGUAGUUUUUGCAAUUAAUUCUUUUCAAUUUCCUUUAGAAAAUGAAAUAAAAUCUUCUCGAUGCAAUGGUGGUCGAUUGACGAUUGAUCGAUGGUGACCAGAGAAUACUUUAUUGUCUGUGGGCUACAGUGACAACUGACUACUGAUUUGCCGUUAAAAAUAAAAUAAAAUAUUAUAAUUAAAGAAAAGAAAACGGAAACGUAUCCAUGCAUGGCAAAAAGCAAUAUGUUUUUCACGUAAGGCUUUCACACACGUAUGUAUAUAUAUGUAUAUAUAUGUCGAUGAUUGCUUUCUAAUUUCUAAUUCAAUGGUAGUCGUUACCCAUAUGGCUUUCAUUUUUCUACCAUUUCCCAUUUUGAAGGUGGCAAGUCACCUCUGCAACAAUAACUUCCUUGUCGUCUUCUUUGCCAUCUCAGUUUCAAUUUUUGAACAAUUACGUAUUAAUUAUGCAAUUAAUAUGUAUUUACAAAGAUAUGUUCACAAAAUUAUUUAUUUAUACUAUAAAAGAUUUAUUAUAGUUUUUUUUUUAAAUAUAUAGUUUUUUUUUUAAAUAUAUAGUUAGGAGUACCAUAGAGUUAACUUGAACAUACCAAGACAAAGUUAUUUUCCUAUAUUUAAUAUAUAUAUAUAUAUAUAUAUAUAUAUAUAUUAAAUAUAGGAAAAUAACUUUGUCUUGGUAUGUUCAAGUUAACUCUAUGGUACUCCUAACUAUAUAUUUAAAAAAAAAACUAUAUAUUUAAAAAAAAAGCAUUUAAUUUAAAAAUAUUAUUCUUGAGGCAGUUUUUAAUGUCAUCGAACUCUGGUUGUUGAUAAGAAAACAACUCUAUGUACUAAUUGAAUCGUGUAAUCAGUUAUAUAGUUAAAAUUAUUAAUUUUUUUCUAAUUCAGUUUCUUUUUUAAUUUAGUCUGAGGAUUAAUCAAAAUGCUGAUCUUUUAUUAUAUUAUGGUUGGUCAAAAUGUUCAUAAGCUUGAAAGCUACUAAACAGAAAAAAAAAAAAAAAAAGCAAAUUGCAAGUUUAGAACAUCUUUUGAUGCAUUUACCUAAUUUUCCACAAACGUUAAUUUAUCUUUUUAAGGAAAUAAUCGUUUUUUCUGGUUUUAGGUUUUCAAUAAUUUAUUACAGGACCUAAGUUCUUUAAAUUAUCUAAUCUUGGAAUAGCUUUAUAUACGAAUUUAUCCAAGAUAUUAUAUGCAAUAACAUGUUGAUGGAUCAGGCAUUCAAAUAUUUAGCAUGUGCAUUAAAGUAAUCAUCCUCAGAAAAAUUUUAAAAUUUUUACACAAAUGAUCAAAUCGUAGAAUUGAAUGAUUGAUAUAAACCAAAUGAAAAGACUACAACAUAAAUAGAAAAAGGGAAUUCUUUGUCCAUUUAAUGUUAAGGCAACUAGCAAUGUUUUGGUAUAAAUCUUUAAGUGGAAAUCUUUUUUUUUUUUUUUUUUUUUAAUAUAAAUUACUGCAUGAUAAAAAGGUUUCUUGGGAAAGGACAUAAAAGCAUGCCAGAAUGGUAGGGCAAACAAAAAGAAUACAUACUAAGAGAUCUUCAUAAUUUUUUUUUUAUCAUUUUAGGAGUAUUGUCAACUUUUUUGGUUAAUGCUUGUCAAUUUAUGUUAUUUCAUGUUUGUGCUUUUUUUUUUUUUUUCAUCAAAAUAAUUCUGAUGCUCAUGUGAUGUCAUCUUUUGGCUUUUGUGUUAAUUUCAAAAUAAGCCUACUAAAUUGAGCACAGUGGUUAAAUAAUUUAAUUAAAAAAAAACCAUCAAACAUAUCAAACAUAAAAAAAUGUUUGUCAUUUUUAUAUCUAUUGUAAAUACUUAUUGAUGUAUAACCCAAAUGAAGUAGCUCAGUGGUAAAAAGUACUUGCGGGAUUGAUCAGUCUAACUUAGAUGAGGUUCAAUCAUCCGUAAUGCAAAUUCUCUUGGAUCAGUCCCUUCGCACUGCGAACGAGUGAGAAUUAAUCAGAUUUACCGUGGAUUGUAAAAACGGACACGAACUUAAAUACCUCGUGAAAAUAUAAAAAAAUAUUUAUUCACUUAUCAUUUCAUUCUUUACAAAUAAAUCGAGUGCAACAAAGUAUCAUACUUUUUGACAUUGGUUUGAUAGAAUGAUGUUCGAAUUGAACUGAGUUGGAACUUAAUUUCAAAUUUAUAAUUUUUUUUAAACUUAAUUUCUUUAGUUUUUAAGCGAGAUAGAACUUAUAUAGGAACUUAUUCAACUUAUUAAAAUUAUAAUUUUGAUAUAUUUUAUUGCUUUUUCUAUUUAAUAAUAUUAUUUUACCUUAAAAUUGCAUAUUCAUAUCGACUCUAUGUACUAAAAUUUUAUUUAUAUUUAAUUUAAUUUUUAUUUCAUAAAAAAUUUUACAAAAUAUAAACACAAUUAUUUUUAUAAUAUUACUCUAUUAAUCACUUUUAAAUUAAGCUAUUUAUAAGCUUUUGAGUCAAGUUUAUAUAUAAUCUAACUUAUUCAUGAAAAAUAAUGAAAUUUUAAUUUAUAUUUUAAAUUUAAUUUAUUUUCAUUAACAAAUGUGUUUCGAGAUUUUUUUUAUGUAAACUACCAAUAUUCGGAUUUUAUUACUAGGGACCGCUUAUCCAACUCAGAAUUUUAGUCACAGUUAAAACUCAUCGCCUCUCUGCAGAUGCGUUAAGUAAGGAUCGAACUCAAAACUCUUCCCACAUGUUCAGUUUGCGUUGCUAACUUAACCUCAGCCGUUUCAAGAUUUUAUCGAGUACAACCUCAGCCAAAUUCAAGUGGCUUCAAUAAUCCUAUUUCGGACCAAUGUAUAUACACAAUUAAAACUUAACAUGCAAAACCACUGGUGUUCAUGCAGGCCUAUCAUUUUUGUCCGUUGGAUCUAUUGGCAGACAUUUUGAUCUCAUUGUUUCCAUUGGGCUUAUAGACGUUUUAUCCAUUGGCAGACAUUUCGACUCUUCUUACGCAGUUUAUCGACUUGAAAAGUCCAAAACAACUUGGCCCAUGUCCACGGUCUGAAGUCCUAAAAAUCACGUCGUUUGGGGCACUGCGGAUAAACGGCGUCGGUUUUGCUUUUACGGACUAACGAAACUUCGACUCGUCCUCUCCAUUAUAGUUAUCUAUGUCCUGAAACCACAGAUCUCUCCCCUCUCUACAUCGGUGGACAAUGGAAUUUCGUUUACGCAGCGUUUUCCAUCUUCUUAUAGUCUCGUCUCUUCUCUGCACACUAGCUAGGGUACAUACUUCUGCGCUCUUGCUCUCUUUAUGAAUCGUAUGGAUGGAUACAUGUUUGUGUAGCUUAAUUUAUAUCUCGCUUGAUCGGGUGAUUUUGUGGCUUGAUUUGGUUGAUUGUGGAUUCCAGGCCGAAACUACCGGUUCAGUUUUCUUCAUCGAUGGCCAGAAUCACCAGUAUCUUAGGAAGCCAUUAUCUACAAACGAUGUCGUCCAGGUUCAUUUGUUUAACUUAUACAAAUCAUACAAUUUUCUAAUUCGACUCCUUGGAUGAAAAAUUUUAAUUGAUUUUUUCCUAAGUUUAUGGAAGUUUUUAUUUCUUUUCAUCGAUCACCAUGAUUUUAGGAGGUUAUUUGAGUGUGUUUAAAUUAUUUGUACUGAGAAAUGGUGGUUUUUUCAUUCGCAUUAGACAUGACUUAUUGGAAUUUCUCUGCUGGAAGUAAGAUGAAGUUGAAUAGUAAAAGAUGAGAUUCAAAUUUGCAUUAUCUCUUGCCACCUUUGCUGCUACUGUGGUCCGGGGGCUGAUGGGUUGGGGUUGUUUUGCCAUGAUAUGUCAUUUGGUCUUAAUGUAUGAAGAAAGUUACCUAUUUUGUUGGACUGGACUAUUUACAUCUUGAUUUUGUUGAUACACAAAGCAGUUUUCUCCUGGGCUGCCUUUCACGUAUUUAGUUUGUUUUUUGCUCUCCCUUAUAGCUAUUUUUUCACUUUCAGUCUCAUUCCAUGUCGCCUCUGGAAGUCGGUGCUGCUGUGUCUGUCUUGCUUGGUUUUCAACCUCCUACCACACUUUCAGCUGCUGGUUCAUCCAAGGUCCUUGCAAUGAUGAGUUCUGCAAAAUUAAUUUGUUUUAGAUCCUUUUUAUAUUUAAUUCUGGGAUUGUGACAAUUUUACUGCUUUUUCUGUAGUUGAAUGAGGUUCUCAUGCCCAAUCCAUUUGAUAGACCUCGUGCUGUUUUUGUGCUGGAAGUCACAGGAGUAAAUGGUGACUGCACUUCAAUUUUGAAAUGAACCAUAAUCUGAACUCUUAAUUGUUUUAUCUAUUUAGCAUUUACGGAUUUAUUUAAUAUGCAGAUAUGGUUAAUCCAGAAAAUGCCUUGUUUACUAAUGCCUUUGAAAGCAAGGUCAUUCUUGGUUCGGGUAAAGCACAAAUUGAACUGCCAGGUACGUGCCCUUUAUUAGACUGCGAGCCACAGCUUACAGUUAUCUGUACAUGAAUAUGACUAUUGUUGCAUGAAUGAGUAACUUCUCGUGAAUGUAUUUUUGUCUUAUGAAAUCUGUUGCAGAUGAGGAAGUCUCUGUGGUUUCAUUAGUUGAAAAAUUAUCAGAUUGCACAGACAAGGAACUAAGUGAUUUGGUUAGUAUUGACUUGUAUUUAUCUUGUAUAGCUAGUGACAUUUGUCCUAGUCUCUUCUCAUUCAUAGAUCAUCUCUUGACUUCGGCACUGUUUAUUAUUUAGGCAUCUUGGUUGGGUGGAUCAUAUAUUACUGAUGCCUUCGGACCAUUGAAUGGAGAGUUGAUCAUCCCCUUGGCUGGUGGUGCUAAUGUGAAUCUUGACAUGUCAAAGGUAGUUUAUUUAUCAUUUCUUAUGGCUUCAUUGAAUUCGAGAUUAAAACUUUUAGUUUUAUAAUUCUCAAAAUUUGUAUUGGAAACUUACAUUUUUAUUCUUUACAGAAAUUAGAUAAGGAAUUUAUAGCAAGUCUCUUGGCUUUGUUCCACAAUAGUAGAAGAGCAAUAGAAUUGCAUGAAGACCUGUCACAAGUUGCUCAAGGACCUGCAGAGUUAAUAAUGGGUAGUUUUGAUGGCAUUAAGGUGAUGGCAUUAACUUUGACAUAUGAUGUUUCAAAUGUGUGAAAUUGCAAUUUUAUCUGUUAAUAAUAGGUUGCUUUAAGCAAGUAUUGUGUUAGUAGAGAUUACCUUUCUAUUCCUAAAUUUGAAGGAACAAAGACUGCUGUGAAUGGUGCAAGUUCAUUAAUGAGGUCAAGAAUGAGUAAAUGCUUAUUUUCAUAUUUGUGUUUUCCUACUCUGGUUUUCAGAGGGUCUUUGAGUACAUGUUUAAAAUGGCUGGAACGAUGUAAUGGAUAAUGGGACUCUUCAGCCUUUCUGGGUUUAUCAGAACUUUUCAGGUUUCACGAUUGGCAUGCCUUUGAUUACUGAAUUAUGUUGGUUUUCAUAAUGGUGAAAUUUUAUGCGAACUAUUUCUUCUUGCAUUAAUUUUUAAUUUAUAUAAUUUGGAAUGUCAAGAAUAUAUCGAGUUGUGUUGGUUUUGUUUUGUCUUUUUCCCAAACUUGAAAAACUAAAAAUUGCGCUGUUUCUUUAUCUAAACUUUCAAGAUAUAGUUUCAUAUAUUAUCUAUUAAGUCCAUCACUUAUUUAUUUAUAUUACUACAGGCUUUGGAAGGGCAAUAUGGACAAGGAGUUGUUGUUCAGCAAAGGAUGGAGCUAUUGCUUGCUACAUUGUCUAAAAUGCUUGAUUCCUUCCAAGUAGCAUACAAAGGUAGGUUGUCAUUCUUUUCAGUAUGAGCUUUUUCUUAUGCUAAAACAUUGUCAUUGUCCAUCCUGAAUAUGUGAGAAGAGAAACCUUGUUUACCUGAAUAGCAUUUGCAUCCAUUGAACACACCAUAAGUUCUCUUCCUAUGUAUGACAAGUUUGAGGUUUUUUUAAUUAGAGAAAUAUAUGCAAUUUGAAACUGAUCUUGUGGCUUGUGAUGCAUUCUGCAAAUAAUUUAAAUUUCAAGUUACAACUCUUUCUUCAUAUUUACAGCCGAUUUUUGUGAUUAAAAUAUACUGCUGUUAGUAAUAUUGCUAUUGCUUGACUAUGGCAAUAAUGGUGAUUGACAGGUCAAAUUGUUGGAAUUAUCAUCUGUAAUGAUGCAUCCUCUUCAGAAUCAGAAAUGAUGUUGAAUGUCAUUUUGAAUUCUCGGCCAUCUGCACGUUGGUUGGCUGAGGUAAAAGGAUCAAAUGCAACUAAUGCAACCCUUGUGGAAGUGGCCUUGGUAAGGAAGACCCUAGCUUGGUUGACGGGGAUUAUUCUCAUCAUUUCUACUCUAUUAGGGGUAAGAUUAUCUAAUUUAAACUUGACAUGGUAUCUUUAGUUUUCAAAUUAUACUAAAUUUUAGAAAUUUGUAAUUUCUUAUGACUUUGGCUGUUAUCUUCAUUGUGAGUACUUGUGCGUGUGCACAUGCACACCCACCCCACCCCUUAUCCAUGGAUCUAAAAGGUUUUUAGGCUCAUUCAUAGAGUUGCUGUGGCAAAAUGCACACCUUUUCUCAGUUUCUCUAUUCUUUUCUGCAGAUAUACCUGCUGCUCAAUAUGCCCCUCACGAGGGACACCCUUCUCUACUCUAAUGUCAAGCUUGACUAAACUGAGAGGAAGUUGAUGUAUCUUUCUGCUGCUAGAAGUUCAGGAUGGCAUUCCGGUUUUUGUGAAUGAGUUAUUCUUAGAUUUUUUUUUUUUUUUUUUUUUUUUUUCAAAUUACCAAUGGCUAUUUAAAUUGUUAUGGAACCUGCUCAACACCUGCUCCUUGAGUAGGUCAUUCUGGCAAAUCGGGAAUUGAUAGCUGGUUUACACAAUAUAAGGGAGUCACCGGUUGAUGCCGGGUAGUUUCAGAUGUAUGGCUAUUUAAAUUGUUAUGGAACCUGCUCAACACCUGCUCCUUGAGUAGGUCAUUCUGGCAAAUCGGGAAUUGAUAGCUGGUUUACACAAUAUAAGGGAGUCACCGGUUGAUGCCGGGUAGUUUCAGAUGUGCUUUGGGGGCAUGGGGAAGUGAAAUGAUGAUUGUGCAACAAUUUAUAGUUG
This 14826-nucleotide long non-coding RNA is filed under the name Jatropha curcas. RNAcentral's name for it is "long non-coding RNA (JCUR_LNC001142)". Lineage: Eukaryota; Viridiplantae; Streptophyta; Magnoliopsida; Malpighiales; Euphorbiaceae. The record is from RNAcentral.